This 378-nucleotide ribosomal RNA is filed under the name uncultured eukaryote. RNAcentral describes it as "partial 18S ribosomal RNA". It matches the Rfam family "Eukaryotic small subunit ribosomal RNA", at positions 592 to 976 of the family's 1831-position model. The record is from RNAcentral.
CAAUAGCGUAUAUUUAAGUUGUUGCAGUUAAAAAGCUCGUAGUUGGAUUUCGGGUGGGACGCAGCGGUCUCGCAUUGCGUUUGUACUGCUGCAGCCCUCCUUCUUGCCGGGGGCGGCCUCUCGGACUUCACUGUCUGGGGGUCAGAAUCGGCGAUGUUACUUUGAGUAAAUUAGAGUGUUCAAAGCAAGCUUACGCUGUGAAUAUAAUAGCAUGGGAUAACACGACAGGACUCUGGCCUAUCGUGUUGGUCUAUAGGACCAGAGUAAUGAUUAAGAGGGACAGUCGGGGGCAUUCGUAUUCCGUUGUCAGAGGUGAAAUUCUUGGAUUUACGGAAGACGAACAUCUGCGAAAGCAUUUGCCAAGGAUGUUUNCAUUGA